Molecule: ribosomal RNA, 252 nt
Filed under: uncultured bacterium
Lineage: Bacteria
Description: partial 16S ribosomal RNA
Rfam family: Bacterial small subunit ribosomal RNA
Source: RNAcentral
UACGUAGGUGGCAAGCGUUGUCCGGAAUUAUUGGGCGUAAAGCGCGCGCAGGCGGUUAUGUAAGUCUGAUGUUAAAGCCCGGGGCUCAACCUCGGUUCGCAUUGGAAACUGUGUAACUUGAGUGCAGAAGAGGAAAGUGGUAUUCCACGUGUAGCGGUGAAAUGCGUAGAGAUGUGGAGGAACACCAGUGGCGAAGGCGACUUUCUGGUCUGUAACUGACGCUGAGGCGCGAAAGAGUGGGGAGCAAACGGG